GGCUGGGUGGCAGAGUGGCUAUGCAGAGGACUGCAAAUCCUUGUACGUCGGUUCGAUUCCGGUCCUAGCCUCCA
RNAcentral lists this transfer RNA (74 nucleotides) under Holosporaceae bacterium. Its description in RNAcentral is "tRNA-Cys". It matches the Rfam family "tRNA". Rfam says of the family: Transfer RNA (tRNA) molecules are approximately 80 nucleotides in length. The record is from RNAcentral. Lineage: Bacteria; Pseudomonadati; Pseudomonadota; Alphaproteobacteria; Holosporales; Holosporaceae.